AGCAUCCGUAGCCGGUUGCAUAAGUUUUCGGUUAAAUCUAUGCGCUCGACGUAUAGGCCGCCGAAAAUACUGUGCAGCUAGGGAGUGGGAGAGGUACACGGUACUCAGUAGGAAGGGGUAAAAUCCUUUGAUCUAUUGAUGACCACCUGUGGCGAAGGCGGUGUACCAGAACACGUUCGACGGUGAGGGAUGUAAGCUGGGGGAGCAAACCGGAUUAGAUACCCGGGUAGUCCCAGCUGUAAACGAUGCAGACUCGGUGAUGCAUUGGCUUGUGGCCAAUGCAGUGCCGCAGGGAAGCCGUUAAGUCUGCCGCCUGGGAAGUACGUACGCAAGUAUGAAACUUAAAGGAAUUGGCGGGGGAGCACAAG
RNAcentral lists this ribosomal RNA (368 nucleotides) under uncultured Nitrososphaerota archaeon. RNAcentral's name for it is "bacterial SSU rRNA". It matches the Rfam family "Archaeal small subunit ribosomal RNA", at positions 514 to 882 of the family's 1478-position model. The record is from RNAcentral. Lineage: Archaea; Thermoproteati; Nitrososphaerota.